Molecule: long non-coding RNA, 169 nt
Organism: Dermochelys coriacea (leatherback sea turtle)
Lineage: Eukaryota; Metazoa; Chordata; Testudines; Dermochelyidae
Exons: 3
Source: RefSeq, a predicted model, not a curated record
AAACAGCCACUCAGUAUGAAGCGGCAAUGAAAAGAGCUAACAGAACAUUAGGAAACAUUAGGAAAGGGAUAGAUAAUAAGACAGUAAAGAUCAUAAUGCCACUAUAUAAAUCCCUGGUACACCCACAUCUUGAAUACUGCUUGCAGUUCUGGUUUCCCCAUCUCAAAAA